UCUAUGCCACCAGCUCCAGGCAGUAACUAAGAUACCUUUGCAGAAUCAAGUGUUUCUAAAGGUUGAUAAGAGUAUUACAAAGACAAGAUGCAUAAUGGCUAUUUUGGUCCAACUUCUCUCAUUUUGCUAUAAACUGCUGAAGAAGAUUCAAAUGGAAAACAACAGACGGGUCUCAGUUACAAAUAAAGAUUCUGUGG
Mesoplodon densirostris (Blainville's beaked whale) is the source of this 197-nucleotide long non-coding RNA. RefSeq lists it as uncharacterized. Lineage: Eukaryota; Metazoa; Chordata; Mammalia; Artiodactyla; Ziphiidae. The transcript has 3 exons. The record is from RefSeq and is a predicted model, not a curated record.